AUGUAAAUGCAGCUCAGCGGUUAAAAGUGCAAGCCGUUCGGCUCCCAGCACCCACAUAGGGCUCACAAUCACUCAUGACUCUAGUUCCAGGCAAUCGGAUCCUCUCCUCUGGCCUCUGAGGGUAUCCACGUGUGUGUGUGUGUGUGUGUGUGUGUGUGUGUGUGUACAGACACAUAUACAUGCACAUAAAUAAACAUACAUUCAAGCUUAAAUAAAAAAGGGCCGGACACAAGGGGGCUGGAGAUGUAGCUCAAGUGUUUUCUUAGUGUGCACGAGAUCUUGGGUUCAAGUCCCAGCACCACCUAAAACUGGCCACAGUGGUGCAUGCCUAUAAUCCCAGGGCUCAGGCCUUUAAGUCUGGAGGGUCAGAAGUUGAAAGUUAUCCUCAGUUACAUAUCAAGUUUGACUGGGCUACUGGAGACCCUGUCAAGGAAGGUAAGAAGGGAGAGAGAAGGAAGAAAAAGAGAGGGAAGAAGGGAAACAGAGAUGAACAAAUUGGAGAAAGGUCAGCAUUUGUUUUUGUUUGUUUGUUUGAUAACCUGCUGGUGUGACCUGCUCCCUGUCUCUCCCUCUCUCUCUCUGUCUCUCUCAGAUUUGUUUAUUUAUUUUAUGUAUAUGAGUACACUGCAGCUGUACAGAUGGUUAUGAGCUUUCAUGUGAUUGUUAGGAAUUGAAUUUUAGGACCUCUGCUCGCUGCUCGCUCCGGCCCAAAGAUUUAUUAUUAUACAUAAAUUCAUUGUAGCUGACUUCUGACGCACCAGAAGAGGGCGUCAGAUCCCAUUACGGGUGCCUGUGAGCCACUGUGUGGUUGCUGGGAUUUGAACUUAGGACCUUUGGAAGGGCAGUCAGUGCUCUUACCCACAGAGCCAUUUCUCCAGCUCCGUAACCUUGUCUCUUUCAGGAAUGCCACCCGUGAGUUGGGAAAAGCCAUCUCCAACACCCUCUUCCCUAUAGGGGCAUGCAAUGAGGGAGGGGCUGUGGAAAACAACUAGUCUCAGAUGUGAGAGGCAGGCGUUCCCCAUUUGCAGCAUGCCAUUACAAUAUUGUUAUCACACACACAGGAAUGGAGCCCAUCUAGACACAAAGUCAACAGCCGUAUCUCCACCCAGCCAUCUUCCACGAGUUUACAUAAUUAGCAGCGUCCACAGCCACAACACAUUGGCCUCAGUUCCCUGAAGCAUUUUUACAGAUGGGGCAAAAGUCAUCCUGACACACAUGGUUCAAAAGGACAGAGACAGGUAGGCCAGCAGGAAUGCCAGGUAUGAAAAAGCCAGGACUGGUAUUUGUCAUGCACCUGCUGAGACAUAGGCUAGAUUUCUCAGUUGCUUUUGCCUCUCUUCCUAUUAAAAAACAAAAAACAAACUGUGUGUGUGUGUGUCUGUCUGUCUGUCUGUCUGUACGCAAGUAUGUAUGUAUGGAAGUGGGGGAAUACACAGGGCAACUCUCUCCUUGGGGAGUGGAACUCAAGUUGGUAGGCAUAGCAGCAAGAGCCAUUUCCCCACAAGCCGUCUCGCCUGCCCCCUUUCUCUUUUAUACUGGAAACCAAAGCUGGAUCCUUAAACACUCUGGGCCCUACCACUGAGCUAUUAUUAUACCUUUUAUUUGAGGCAGGGUCUCACUGAGAUGCCCAGGGUAGCCUUGACCUUACUUUGUAGCACAGGCAGUCCUUGAACUUAACACCCUCCUGUCUCAGCCUCCUGAGUACCUGGAAUGACAGGUAUGUGCCACACUGGUAGCUCACACACAGCAUCUUUUAAAUGAUCACAUCCUUAGUGGGUACCCAUUUCCACUGUGAGUAAACUGAGUCUCAAAAAGAUGGCACAACUUGCUUAGCCUGUGUGUGCAUUGCUGUACAUCAGCUGGAUCCUUCUCGGAGGAACUUUUUUGGCAGGCACUCUGUGGGUUCACCAGCUCAGAAGCUCCCCGCCUAGAGGAGGUAUCAGAAUGCCAGGCUUUGCCAUGCAUCAAGGCGGAAUCUGAGGUCCCGAAGCCAGGCCUGGUAGCCAUUGCCUGUAAUCCUAGGAUGGCAGAAGAUCUGGAGUCCAAGGUAGGCCUGGGCUUCAUCCCACGCGACCCUGCCUUAGACAAAAUGAAAUCUGAAAUGCCAACACCAAGACAGUGAGAACUCCUAAGUGGAGUUCUCUGGAAUCCAGAAAAAUCUCUGGAUUUUCCUGUACCUAUCUGCAGAGAUAGAACACAGCCUCGAUAUCAGGUAGGGUUUCAUUCAGGACGCUGCACGAAAAUUACUACAGCACAGAAAGGUGUUCAAUACUUAAAAAAAUAAUAACAAUUGAAAAAAAUCCAGUGCACUUCCGUUGUUCCUGGAAAAGUGUUCAGAAGUUCAAACUGAAGGAUGGCAGACUUCUCGGAAAAGCCCGCAGACUUCCAUCUAAAUUGUUUCCUUGCUCAGAGUCAGGCGGAUCCAAAGGUUCCUCCCCCAACCCAUGACUUAACUUGGGGGCGGGUGGAGGGAGACAGCUGAGACAGGAAUGGGCGCACCCACUGGGCGAAUUUCAACACAGAACCACUGUAUUCCACAGACAGAUCGGCCAGGCACACGCAAUUAGAUCUCAAUGCUUGAGCUUCCCACCGCUGCAAUGUCUCCUGGAGUUAAGUGUGUGCGGAUGUAGCCAUCUCUUUGCUUGAGCAAAUGCGAGUGGAGAGAGUGAAAGGGCAGUCUUUUCCGGACGUAAGGCUACCAGAUGGGUUACAGGCACAGCGUAGGGGGUAGCCCCAAAUUUGCACUGAGCUAGCCCCUUACUCACACUUGCCCCGGGUCCAGCCAGGUGCCCAGCAGGCACCACAGGCUUGCAAUACCCUGACCAACAGAUUUGACCGCUCUCCAUGUAGUGCUUUGGGACGCUCGAGUCAGGGAGCCAAAUAGCCCCGCGAGAAUCCAACACCUAAGUUCAAGAACUGACGAGGGGCCGUCCCAACUUUGCACUGGAUAGACCCUUUCCCACGCUCUGGGUCCAGCCCUGUGCUGAGUCUGCAGGUGCCAUGGGUCACAGGACCCUGACAGGCAUGGCACUGACCUUUCUCUCUGCAGCUCUGUUGAGGUUCCAUAAGGGAAGAUGGAUGCUGCCAAAGAACCCCAAGACCCGAGCUCCCAAACUGAAAAACUCCAGUGCGCCUCCCGGCCGCACCCACCCAGUGAUCGGGGACACAACUUUGCCACCAGCGGCUCCGAGCUCCCGGCCCGGAGCGCCCCCGCGCGCCCGGCCCCGGCGGUUCCCGGACUCCGGGGCCUGCAGCCACGCUGCCCUCCCGACCGCGCGAGCACCUACCGGGCUGGAUGCCGAAGCCAUCGGCUGCAUCGGGGACUGCUCCAGCUCCCUGCUGCUCCCGGAGCCCCGUAGUGUCCGCGCAUAGCUUGCAGGCUCCGGGCUCCGGGACGCGCGCGGACCCGGUGUCCCGCCCGCAGGACGGAGUCGGCUGGCCGUAUGCCGCAAGCUGGCGGACGCGCUCCCAUGAACCCGAAUCGGCCGCCCGCAUCCCGUGUGCCCGGGACGCGAGGCCCCACGGCGGCGCGCGGGGCUCCGACGGCGGACGCCGGUCUCACAGCCCUCGGAGCCGCCGCCGCAUCGGGUCGCCCACGCGCUCCCGGCCAGAGAUCUCAGCCCCACCGAGCGCCGGGCACUCCGCGGCCGCCGCACCGGAGGAAUCCGGCGCGAUCCUCUCACGUGGGAACAACUCCAGAUCCUGGGGGCUCCUCCUCCUGCUCCUUCCGGGCUAGCGAGCCCCGGGAGCCAGAGGCUGGCUUUCCCUUGCUGUAGACUGCAGGGAGCCAAGCUGCACAGCCAGGUGAAAAGUUCCUGAGUUCACCACCGCUACUGCCCCUCCUAAGCCGCCUGGACCCCAAACCAGAUUCUAUGACCUGUGGCUCUCCCCGUGCCAGCCUGUGAGCGAGCCCUGAUCACCAUGGAGGGCAUGUGGCAGGCCAAGAGCUGGUGUCCCCAACAGUACAGGAAGACUGCCGGUGGCUUAAACACCCAGCCCUUCCAGAGGAACGACAUGGCCCAGCACCAAGCCACGAUUCAACCUAGAGUGGCCUGAGCAAAUGAACCUCGACUGGAGCGUCGCCUGGCUCAUACCAGCCUGUGAGCAGCUCCUCCGUAGGCUGUCCCGAUUACUAACAGAUGUGGGAGAACCCAAUCCAUGAUGGGUGGUGCCAUUAUUUGGUUUCAGACCCAGGGACAAGGGACUGAGGUGCAUAUUUUACACACCAAGGCAGACCUGGCCUUCAGGUUCUCCCAGCAUCCCUCAGACCCUGCCCCCAACCCUGAACUUUGCAGCUCAGGAACUGGGCUACCCCUUCCCCCAGAGGCUCUUCUCUAUAUAACCCAGACAUUUUGGUCUUUUGCCCUCUCUUCUCCUUCUCUUCUCUCUCCCCACCCUUCCCAGGGUGACUCCCCUGGCCUCCUUCCCUGAGGCCAGUGAACAUACCCAUCCAAAGAGCAGCUUCCCAAUAAACCUGCAUCUAAUAUACUCUAAACCGGCUUGAAUUGAUUCACUUCAGCGAUGGAGAAAUCACUUAUCAGCCAUCUCUAGUCAGGCAGUCCUAGGCUGUAUAAUGACGCCAGCUGAGCAUGGGUGGCUCCGGGAGCAACCAGCUAACCGUGAUUUCCCACAAUCCUUGCCUUGCCUAUUGGCCCUGACUUCCUUCAAUGGUGGACUGAGACCUGAAAAUACACCUGGAAGUAAACCCUUACCUCCUUUAAAUUGCUUUUGGUCACGGUGUUUAUUGUGGCAACAGAAAGCA
Mus musculus (house mouse) is the source of this 4762-nucleotide long non-coding RNA. RefSeq annotates it as predicted gene, 35531. The record is from RefSeq and is a predicted model, not a curated record. The transcript is spliced from 4 exons. Lineage: Eukaryota; Metazoa; Chordata; Mammalia; Rodentia; Muridae.